This 45-nucleotide non-coding RNA is filed under the name Schistosoma mansoni. The record is from RNAcentral. Lineage: Eukaryota; Metazoa; Platyhelminthes; Trematoda; Strigeidida; Schistosomatidae.
AUUCAGCUGAUGAGUCCGAAAUAGGACGAAACGCACAUUCUGGAU